AUUAUGGCUCAGGAUGAACGCUGGCGGCGUGCUUAAUACAUGCAAGUCGAACGAAGCACCUGCGACGGAUCCCUUCGGGGUGAAGAUGCUUGUGACUGAGUGGCGGACGGGUGAGUAACGCGUGGGUAACCUGCCUUAUGCAGGGGGACAACAGUUGGAAACGACUGCUAAUACCGCAUAAGCGCACGGCACCGCAUGGUGCAGUGUGAAAAGAUUUAUCGGCAUAAGAUGGACCCGCGUCUGAUUAGGUAGUUGGUGAGGUAACGGCCCACCAAGCCGACGAUCAGUAGCCGACUUGAGAGAGUGAUCGGCCACAUUGGGACUGAGACACGGCCCAAACUCCUACGGGAGGCAGCAGUGGGGAAUAUUGCACAAUGGGGGAAACCCUGAUGCAAGCGACGCCGCGUGAGUGAAGAAGUAUUUCGGUAUGUAAAGCUCUAUCAGCAGGGAAGAAAAUGACGGUACCUGACUAAGAAGCCCCGGCUAACUACGUGCCAGCAGCCGC
Molecule: ribosomal RNA, 505 nt
Filed under: uncultured bacterium
Lineage: Bacteria
Description: bacterial SSU rRNA
Rfam family: Bacterial small subunit ribosomal RNA
Source: RNAcentral